Molecule: ribosomal RNA, 494 nt
Filed under: uncultured bacterium
Lineage: Bacteria
Description: partial 16S ribosomal RNA
Rfam family: Bacterial small subunit ribosomal RNA
Source: RNAcentral
GACGAACGCUGGCGGCGCGCUUAACACAUGCAAGUCGAACGGAAAGGCCUGCUUUCCCUUGUGGAUUGCGGGUACUCGAGUGGCGAACGGGUGAGUAACACGUGAGUGAUCUGCCCCCAACUUGGGUAUAAGCCUGGGAAACUGGGUCUAAUUCCCGAUAGGACUGCAGGGUGGUGCCUGUGGUGGAAAACGAUUUUCUAGUGGUUGGGGAUGAGCUUGCGGCCUAUCAGCUUGUUGGUGGGGUAAUGGCCUACCAAGGCGGCGACGGGUAGCCGGCCUGAGAGGGUGGACGGCCACAGUGGGACUGAGAUACGGCCCAGACUCCUACGGGAGGCAGCAGUGGGGAAUAUUGCACAAUGGGCGGAAGCCUGAUGCAGCGACGCCGCGUGGGGGAUGACGGCCUUCGGGUUGUAAACUCCUUUCGACCGCGAGGAAGCCACCUGGUUGGAAGGGUGGUGACGGUAGUGGUAGAAGAAGCACCGGCUAACUACGUG